GACGAACGCUGGCGGCGUGCUUAACACAUGCAAGUCGAACGGAAAGGCCUGCUUUCCCUUGUGGAUUGCGGGUACUCGAGUGGCGAACGGGUGAGUAACACGUGAGUGAUCUGCCCCCAACUUGGGUAUAAGCCUGGGAAACUGGGUCUAAUUCCCGAUAGGACUGCAGGGUGGUGCCUGUGGUGGAAAACGAUUUUCUAGUGGUUGGGGAUGAGCUCGCGGCCUAUCAGCUUGUUGGUGGGGUAAUGGCCUACCAAGGCGGCGACGGGUAGCCGGCCUGAGAGGGUGGACGGACACAUUGGGACUGAGAUACGGCCCAGACUCCUACGGGAGGCAGCAGUGGGGAAUAGUGCACAAUGGGCGGAAGCCUGAUGCAGCGACGCCGCGUGGGGGAUGACGGCCUUCGGGUGGUAAACUCCUUUCGACCGCGAGGAAGCCACCUGGUUGGAAGGGUGGUGACGGUAGUGGUAGAAGAAGCACCGGCUAACUACGUG
RNAcentral lists this ribosomal RNA (494 nucleotides) under uncultured bacterium. RNAcentral describes it as "partial 16S ribosomal RNA". It matches the Rfam family "Bacterial small subunit ribosomal RNA", at positions 28 to 507 of the family's 1533-position model. The record is from RNAcentral.